This 400-nucleotide ribosomal RNA is filed under the name uncultured bacterium. RNAcentral's name for it is "bacterial SSU rRNA". It matches the Rfam family "Bacterial small subunit ribosomal RNA", at positions 355 to 752 of the family's 1533-position model. The record is from RNAcentral.
UAAGGAAUAUUGGACAAUGGCCGCAAGGCUGAUCCAGCCAUGCCGCGUGCAGGAUGAAGGUGCUAUGCAUUGUAAACUGCUUUUGUUCGGGAAUAAACCCCUUCACGUGUGGAGGGCUGAAUGUACCGAAAGAAUAAGGGUCGGCUAACUUCGUGCCAGCAGCCGCGGUAAGACGAAGGACCCAAGCGUUAUCCGGAUUUAUUGGGUUUAAAGGGUGCGUAGGCGGGUUUUUAAGUCAGUGGUGAAAGCCUACAGCUUAACUGUAGAACUGCCAUUGAUACUGAAAAUCUUGAGUAUGGUUGAGGUGGGCGGAAUGUAUCAUGUAGCGGUGAAAUGCUUAGAUAUGAUACAGAACACCGAUUGCGAAGGCAGCUCACUAAGCCAUAACUGACGCUGAGGC